Molecule: long non-coding RNA, 335 nt
Organism: Canis lupus familiaris (dog)
Lineage: Eukaryota; Metazoa; Chordata; Mammalia; Carnivora; Canidae
Exons: 3
Source: RefSeq, a predicted model, not a curated record
CCUCAGCUGGGCAUUGGUCCUGGCCAACUGUAAGAGGCCUCUUACCAGAAACUGGGCUCCUCGGUCCUCAUUCCCAGCUGUGGCCACCACAAAUAGAUCAAAGCUUAACACCGUGUGACUGUGACAAAACAGAUUCAUUGCGUGACACUGUCUGAAUUGCUCCCAGAAUGGAAGUCUCCACCCCACUUGGCCACCGCUCAGGCUGAUGCUCUUUCAGGUGUGAGCAAGUAAAUUAAACUCUCCUAGCCUCAUGGAGAUGACAGGAAGAUCUCAUCUGUGUCACAGGACUGCGGGACCCCGAAUUGUUGGUGGGAGUGAGAAGAGAAGGCUUUAUA